GCUGACUAUACAACCAAUCACAAACAUAUAUUUACCCACCAAACAAACCAUUUGAUAAACCUAGUAGUUGUGAUCGAACAGUAAACAGUCAAAACAAAGUACCGCAAGGGAAACCCCCCAAGCAACUAACAGCAAAGAUUAACCCUUGUACCUUUUGCAUCAUGGUUUAGCAAGAUAAUCAGGGCAAGAAGACUCACAGCCCCUUCCCCGAAACCGGAUGAGCUAUUUUCAAGCAGUCUAAUGGACCCAUCCGUCUCUGUAGCAAAAGAGUGGAAAGACUUAAAAAUAGAAGUGAAACGCUUACCGAAUCCGGAGAUAGCUGGCUACCCCAAAUAGAAUCUAAGUUCUACUUUAGAUUAAAAUUAUACCUAGUUAUUAACUAAAGUAAAUCAAUAGAGGUACAGCCCUAUUGAUACAGGAUACAACCUUAAUUUGAAAGAUAAUUUUUCUACCUCCUCCCCGUAGGCCUUAAAGCAGCUACCCAUAAAAAUAUCGUCAAAGAAUUACUCAAUAUAAACCCAUAAUUAAAACCACCCUUCAAAAUCACUAAAGGUGAACCUACCUAAGUAGGUACCAUUAUGCUAAAACUAAUAAUAUGACUACAUCUCUCAACGCAUCCCUCCACUAGACACAGAAAAUCUACUAGUCAUUAACAGACCAUAAGAGGUAAAAAACCAACCAAUAUCCACCUUUAAUACAACUGUGACCCCAACACAGGGGCGUUAAAAAGAAAGAUUAACCGUUAUAAAAGGAACUCGGCAACCAUGGACUCCAACUGUUUAACAAAAACAUUACCUUUAGCUAAAACAAAUAUUAAAGGCAACGCCUGCCCAGUGAAUAAUUAAACGGCCGCGGUAUCCUAACCGUGCAAAGGUAGCAUAAUCAUUUGUCUAUUAAUCGUAGACUCGUAUGAAUGGCAAAAUGAGAGCCCGACUGUCUCUUAUAACAAAUCAAUUAAACUGAUCUCUCAGUACAAAAGCUGAGAUUCUCACAUAAGACCAGAAGACCCUGUGAAGCUUUAACUAAACUAUUAAACCCCUUAAUAACUAUGUUUCGGUUGGGGCGACCUUGGAACAAAAAAGAACUUCCAAAUACAUGACCUUCUCACACCAAGGCAAACAAGCCACAUUUAGACCCAGAACUUUCUGAUAAAUGAACCAAGUUACUCCAGGGAUAACAGCGCUAUCUUCUUCAAGAGCCCAUAUCAAAAAGAAGGUUUACGACCUCGAUGUUGGAUCAGGACAUCCUAGCAAUGCAACCGUUACUAAGGGUUCGUUUGUUCAACGAUUAAUAGUCCUACGUGAUCUGAGUUCAGACCGGAGCAAUCCAGGUCAGUCUCUAUCUAUGAAUAGCCAUACCUAGUACGAAAGGACCGGCAUAGCAAAGCCUAUACUCAAAGCACGCUUUAACCACAAAAUAUAAUUAAAUAUUAAACCAUUUAACACCAUAACCUAGACCAGGUUAAUUAAGGACCAUACCCUUA
RNAcentral lists this ribosomal RNA (1483 nucleotides) under Daboia russelii (Russell's viper). RNAcentral's name for it is "16S ribosomal RNA". It matches the Rfam family "Bacterial large subunit ribosomal RNA", at positions 566 to 2871 of the family's 2925-position model. The record is from RNAcentral. Lineage: Eukaryota; Metazoa; Chordata; Lepidosauria; Squamata; Viperidae.